UUUUUUUUUUUUUUUUUUUUUAAUGUCAAGGAGCCAACUAGAAAUGAUAUCUCCGAAAAUAAUUCAAGUUCAUGUCCUCAGAUUGUGACAGGGUUCAUAAAGCAAUAGAAAUAAGCAUAUCUCUCAAGCACUUUACGUUACAACCAUUAAUAAAAGCCAGGAUACUAAGCCUCAGUUGUUUGAAACAACUUUUCGACGUCUGCAAUAGUGCUUCGAGCAUCCUCAAUCUCCUGGCCUUCUUGGUUUUCCUCCUCCAACUCAGUCAGAGUUGCGUUUAGCUCAGCUAAUGCAGACUCUAGGCGCUUCCGGCAAUCAGGAAUCAUCAUUCUUGACUCGGCUAGCACAUUUUCCUGUUGCUUGAGGUCAUAAGGGUCAGCUCCUUUCUCCUUCAUAUCAGCAGUUUUAGCAGCUUCUCUCUCAACUUCUUUCUCAUAUGAAUGCAAUUCCUUCAUUAUGCGUUUGCAUGUGCUCGUUUUUUUUUUCAAGUUUCUAACUGUUGCCAUUUUAACCUUUUGAUCCGGGAAAGGAGAAGUUUUGCGUAUCAACAACCAACAAGACUAGAGGAAAUUGCUAGCGUUAUAAAUUUGGAAACUACUGAAUUUUAUGCCUAACAUACAAGAAUGCUUAUAACUAAAUGUGAGGCUUUCUACCAAACGGUUGUGGCUCAGUUGGCGGCGCAGCCUGGGUAAGUGGGAAGAGCUUUCGGAUUCGAUCCUCACUAAACACACCAUUUGGGAGGGGUAAAGAGCCUUAACUGUGACUACACUCCGAAUCCGAAUUAGUCAGGGCCCAAUGCGGUCGCCGGAAAUCGGAUGAUUUAAACCAAAAAAAAAAAUUUGAGGCUUUCUGAACUUUUGAAAGGCCUAUUGAUCACGUCAUGAUACCGUCGACAAUUUUUCCAUUAUAAAAAUAAGAAACUGAUACUUUAUUGCAUGAAGCACAACUGCACAAGAUUUACAAGGACACAAGAGUUACAUUUACAUGGACUAUUGUCCUCAACAGCUCAACUUCAUGGAGCGUAACCCUUGAUGAUGCUCUCUCUUGCUUGCAUAGGGUACACGUACGUAACCCAUUCACACAGUUUUAUUCUUCUUAUUACUUUCAGCUUACUUAAUAGUAUCACUUAGUCUAUGCUUUUAGGUGUUGUGAGGCUUGGUCGGCUUCACUUGCCACCGCCACCGCCGCCACGGCCUUGGCCUCCUCCUCCUCCCCAAUGUCCUCCACCACCGUGGCCUCCUCCCCCUCCUCCCCAAUGUCCUCCACCACCGUGGCCUCCUCCUCCUCCUCCCCAAUGUCCUCCACCACCAUGGCCUCCUCCUCCUCCUCCCCAGUGUCCUCCACCGCCAUACUUUUCAUCACCUACUUGUGAGUUUGAUUGUUUAUCUGCUGCCUCCACUGCGCAUGCACAAUCAACACGCAUUAACUUGAGUUACGUACCAUAUUUUUUGUUAACCCUGUAAUUGAGCGGAUAAUAUAUCCACAUAUAUUUGAUAUAUAAAAUGAAAUUGGAAAGAAUUAAAGAAAACGAAUAUUGAUGGGUCUACUAACAAUUUUCGGGCAUGGCAUUAGCGUUAGUCUCAUAAGGGUUGCGAUUCGUUUCCUUUGCUGCAUCCACUUCUGCACGGAUUAAUUAAAAAGUUUUCGUAAAUGAGUUCAAAACUUAAUCAAAGCUUUUUAAAUUGGAUGCAUGCAUGCAUGUCUCCUUAUUUCAUAAUAUGACACGUGUCUAUUUAUUUCAUGUAGCUCUACACAAAUGUAUACACGAUAGUAAGCCGUGGAAUCAGAUUGAAGAAACUCAUUUUGGCAAGUCAUUAAAUAUUACUUCUGAAACUAGGAAUUUACGAGGAUCAAAUAAUUAAAACAUAUCUCAAAAUUGAACGCCAAAAUAAAUGGGUAAAUAUUCCUAGUCUUUUCAAUUUGAUUUUGGUGGACAUGUCAGUGGUAUUACCUUGAACGCAUUCUGUAUUUUUAUUUCAAAAGAGUACAUUUAGUUUAAAAGUUUAUGAGAAAGAUAAUUGAAAAGAAAAGAAAAGAAAAUUCUUUUCUUUUAUUUGCUUUCACCUUUGGAUGUCGCGGCAGCCAAGAUGGAAGGGAUGGGAAGGACAACGGCGAAAAGAAGAACAAGCAAAAGCAAAUUAACACUCCUCAUAUUCAUUUGCCUUACGAAGACAAAUACUAAGUACUAGAAAUAGAUUUUAAGAAGGAUGAGAAUAUGGGGGCUUCCUUAGCAAGUAUUUAUAGAGCUGGAACGAAACAAAAACCAUUAGCCAUAUACGGCGCCGUUUACUAGUUGUCUGUUGAAGAAUUAGCUCCUUCUGUAGACUUUCAAAGCCUAUCUCCUUUUCUUUGACAAAAGUCAAAAAUGAACAAAGCUACUACGUACGUGGACGUAUUUGAGCUGAGGAGUGACAGAAAGUGGUGCUACUCUGAAGCCACGCGUCGAAUACACUUGGACUCUUAAUAACGCUACAGCCGCACCAAAAUUUUGUUUUGUUUCAUUUCAUGAAAAUUUCAACGAAAAAAAUAGAUGAGAACCCAUUCAGCAGGUAAUUGUAUUUUUCCCUCGUCUGUUAUAUCGGAUCCCAACUUUCUGCCACGCUUAACAACCAGCGUUCACUCCAGUUUCAUACAUAGCUGAAUAACUUCGGAAAUUCUAUCUUUUUUUAUGGGUAGAAGCCCUUCAAAUCUAUUAAUGAACUCACAUGCCACAUUACUUGACAUACAAUUAAACUACGUAUUUAUAAUGAUGCCUUUAGCCCAAAUAUACAUUUACAAUUAAAAAUCUAGUGAAACUUUCUAAAUGAUCAGCUCUAUGAUGGUCUGGUCUAAAUAUCCAACUUAAGAGUAAGUUGAAUCUAUUUUAAAAUAUUUUGGUGGCUCCAUGAACUUUUCCCGAGAGUGAGAAUUUUUUUUCAUAUAUAAUUAAAUAAUUUCUGGAGUUAUUUAUUGAUUUUUUUUAUAUGUUACAUAAAUGAAAAUUAAAUCUCUCGCCAACCCCAAUUGAGCACGAGCCAGGUUAAUAAAUCAAAUGAUUAAUAUUUAAUUAUAAUAAGUGAACAAAUGUUAUAAAUUUAUAAGUAAAUGUUGCUAUUUGAAAUAAAGUCUGUCAAAAAAUUAAUAGAAACACACUCAAAACAACGUAGCUUUGGGUGAGUUUAUUUUUUUAUUAUUUAAAUCUAAAACAACAUUAUUUUGAAUGUGUUUAUGUCAGUAUUUUAUCAGACUUUAAUUCUCUAAAUAUUUCUUUUUUGAAAGUUCGUGAAUUUUGGGAGACUAUUUUAUCACCAUCUUGUAACAAUUAAAUACACGAUUUUUUUCAACCAUCGUCUAUAUAUAGUGUUGUUUGAAAAUGAUAUUAAGAUAGCAUUUGUUUCCUUUAUUGGAAUAAGUCUAUAGAUACAGAGUCUGAAAACGAUCUUUGUAACUUGAAUCCGUGCAUCAGCUGCUGCCACAGCCAAAGAGGUGAUAUUCCUUAAUCAAUAACCUAGAUGUAGCAAUCACUCAUAUUUGAUUUAUUGUUUAGUUUUUAUUAAUAUUGUUUGAUUCUUUGUCAAGCCUUAUACUAAGAUACAAACUUAAAAGUUGAGAAUUGUAUUAAAUUUAUAUUAUUAGCUCUAUAAUUAUUCUCAAUCGAUGUAAGUAUUUUUCUCCAUCAAAUUUUACCUUAAAACUUCUAAUGGUUUUAAUGUCUACUAAUUUUCCAAAUUUCAGAAAUUAUCACUGUCAGAUUUGAUUUAGUCAUGAACGAUCUUGGUUAAUUUUGUAGCCUAUGUUUUCAUUUUGUGAGUACAGAUGUCAUUUUGCAGCCCUUGUUUCCAAUUUUAUGUUGGGACUACAGGUGUAAUGCAUAUUCGGUUGGUUUGAACUUUGAACCUAAAAACAAAUUAUAAAAUGCACAAAAUAAAAUGUUUUUGAUAAAAAUAAAGCUAAAAUAAGUUAUACAUGUUUUCUGUAGACUACAAAUUAUAAAAUACACAAAUUUUGACAAUAAUAAAAUUAAAAUAAGUUAUACACAUUUUCUCAUAGUUCAUUGGCAACCUAUGUGCAUGGGUUCGAAUCCCAACUAUGACAAGAUUCGAACCUUCUUGCUAGUAGGGACUAUCUGUCUCCAUGCAUUCAGAUAUGAUUGUAAAUACCAGUAAAAAACUCCAAUUGUAAUACGUCAGUAUAUAUAAAAACAACUAUAAAAUAAAUGAUAAAACAAUAUGCUAGGUGUUCUCGAAAGCAUAUUAAGUAAAAUAUAUUUUUCUAUCAUCUUCUUCUUCACUCCCACCACAUCCCACCUCCAACUCUCAUUUUCUUCCUCUUUCUCUCUCACCAGAAUAUCUUUUCCCCAACUCCCAUCUUCUUUUUCUUUUUCUUCUUUCUCUCUCUCUCUCUCUCUCUCUCUCUCUCUCUCUCUCUCUCUCUCUCUCUCUCUCUCUCUCUCUCUCUCUCUCUCUCUCUCUCUCUCUCUCUCUCUCUCUCUCUCUCUCUCUCUCUCGUCUUUUAGUUAUGAAAUUAGUUUUGUUAAACUUUGAGAAUCUAUUAUAUGGUUCCAUAUGCUUUUAUCUUUUCUCCUUUGACAAUUAGAGCAAUAAUAUUGCUCGAAUCAGAAAAUUGAACCCAAUUCAUUGAUGGGUGUGAAGAGAAAAAAGAGCCAGUGAAAAGAGAAGAAAAAGAAAAGGGCAAUAUCAACAUAGUUGAGUAUUUGCAUUCACUUGAAGCUUGGUUUUUGCUCUGUUCUGAAAUAGGGCCCUCUGCCACAAUAUCAUUAUGUCUAAGGUCUUUAUUUUCCUGAGGAAGCUUAGUUCAAUUCCAUUAACUUAGCAUUUGAUGCUUUAUUUUCUUGUUCAACAAUAUUGCUGAAAUCAAGCUUUAAAGCAUCAUAUAAUUGUUCAAAAGUUAGCACUGAAUCUAACUUUUAUUGAGCACAUGCAUAUGGCUAGCAAAUUUUUCACUGCAAUUGCAUGUGCUAGCAUGAAAUUUCUUACUGUUCACCAAAUUCACACUGAAGCCAUUAAAAUUGAAAAAUGGAUAAGAUUUUUCCAUGCAUUCAUAUUGUAAGCUUCACUUAUAAAUAGAGAAGCAAACCAUCCAAAAAAAAUUGUGAGAUCUAAGAGCAUAACAAAUGAGCUCUUCAAGAGUGUAGAUAGAGUAUUUCCUUGGGUGCUAAGGGGAUCCAUUUGAGUGUAUUGGGUUUUGAGAGUUUUUCCUAAUUUUUUAAAAUUCCCAUCCAUUAGUAAAAUUAUCUUCCAGUCUUCGCCCGUAGACGUAGGCUUUAUGCUGAACCAUGUAAAUUAUUGUGCCUUAUUUUUCUUUGCAUUUAUUUGUCAUGUUUAUAUUUCACCAGAAGUCAACAAUCACUAUAGUAUUGGUAAUUGCUUAACCCGUGCUUCCGCAACAAUUGGUAUUAGAGCUGGAGGUUCGUGCUUGGGUAUACGACACUAUUUAUAUAUACGAUACUGUUGACGUAUAUGAUACUGUUCGUGCAUACAGUGGAGAUGGCAAUUUUUACUUGGGAGACAACUUAUUGUAAGUAGUGUGUAUUUAUGCAUGUCUAGGAAAGUUCUAUCAAUAAGGCGAUAAGUGCCUAAAGAAUAUGGGUUUAAGUGGGACCGUUAUGACCCCUCUAUUCUCCUGAGAACUUUUCUGGUGCAUUUAUUCACACGAAAUUAAUAUAAUGGAGGCUGUUUUCUAAGUGUAAAUAGUUGUUGAAGACAUUGGUCAUUUGGAUUAAGAAGGAUGGCAGAGGCAUCGUCGUUGUCCUCAUCAGCGAAGACUACUGUGACUAAUGCGAAGUUUGAAGUGGAAACAUUCAAUUGUACCAGUAAUUUUGGUAUGUGGCAAUGUGAGGUAUUGGAUGUCUUAUGUCAGCAAGAAUUUGACGUCGCUUUUGAAGAAAAGCCUGACAAGAUGGAUGACAAGGAGUGGAAAAAGAUCAAUAGACAAUCAUGUGGUACUAUUUGUUUAUGUCUGGCUAAAGAUCAGAAGUACUAUGUCACGAGGGAGACAUCAGCAAAAAAAUUGUAGGAGACGCUUGAAGAAAGGUACAUCAAGAAAAGCUUUGAAAAUAAGCUUUAUAUGAAGAAAAAACUCUAUCAAUUCACAUAUGCACCUAAUGUGUCGAUGAAUGACCAUGUGAACUCAUUCAACAAGAUAUUAGCGGGUUUGCUAAAUUUGGAUGAGAAAUUUAAAGAUGAAGAUAAGACAUUAUUGUUGUUGAAUUCCCUUCCUGAUGAAUAUGAGCAUUUCACCACCACUUUGUUUCAUAGGAAGGACAAUGUCAUAUUCGAUACUGUAUGUAGUGCGUUUUACAACACUGAGAUCAGAAAGAAAGACAGAAAGGAUUACUGAGAUACAGUUGCAGAAGCAUUGACAGCGAGGGGUCAUUCAUAAAGCUACAAACUUGAAAAAAGGAGCAAGUUGUUGGUUAAUUUCUAUAAGCAAUUAUUAUCAAUGCCAAUGUGCAAGUAUACACAACAAGUAAUAAAGUGAUGAGUAUUUAAGAUCGUCUCCACAGGGAUUGAUGUUACUCAAAAUGCUAAAGCAAAUCACAAUAAUGCAAAUCAAUUAAGGACCGAAACAAACAAUUGUCGAAUAAUUCUAUGUAACUAAUAAUUGUGAGAGAUGAAAAUAAAACAAUACUGUAAUGAAAUAAACUGAGUUGAAUGUGUCUAAGAUUCAAUUGAGAAUAUAGUAGUUGAAUGAUCAAACUCUCCUAAUGGGAUGACUGUUGUUUACCAAAUUAAUGCUAGUUGUUACAAUAAGUGCUGCAGUAAUGGGUAGAAUAAAUUUUCAUCCGCAGCUAUCGCAUGUUGGAAAUUUCAUACCUUUAAAUCUACUAACAAUGACCAGUUGCUCAUAUAUUUAUAGUAUGCCAUUUUAACCUGUAAUCUCUCUACCCUACAAGGUGAACACCUAUGUCUAGAGUGUCACAAAUCUUAACUUCAAGUAUUGCCCUAAGGUGAACAUCUAUGUUUAGAGUGUCACAAAUCUUAACUUCAAGUAUUGCCCUUAUGGGAUUCAAGAUAACCUAAUUCAGGAAACUCGACUUAAGAACAAGUAAUACUCUAAUAAUGCCCGCUAAGACAUGCCCUUUUGCUGCUCUGUCUUAACUCUCGGAAUACAUCAAAUCAAUUAAAGGAAAAAGAUAAAUAUAAGUUGAGCACAAUGAAAAUCAAAGUCAAGUAAUUCUGCACAAUUGUCCAAUGUUGCCGAAACAACACUCUUCAAUUAUGAUCUUCUUCUCCUUCGUUAAUUCUAAUUACUCUAAUGAUAAUUCCUUGCCGCCCUUCUAUGUGGUGCACGCCUCCUUUUUAUAAUGCAAAUUAGGUUAAAACCAAAGCCCAUGAGCGUGCAUGUGUUUAAAUUAGGAAACAUGCAGAUCGCGACUUUAUGGCUGACUCGCGCCUAAAUUUUCUCCCGCACUGCUCCCAAAUUGCUACAGCACUGGUUGCUCUAAUAGCCGAUACAACACUGUUUUAUUCCCGAUUGUGCUUUACUUCUUUUAUGGCCAUCUUCCUUCUUUCUCUUGCUCUUCUAAUUCCUCAACAUCUUCUCAUGAAUUUAAAACCUGUUUUUAGCACAAAUUACUAUGAUUUAAUCAAAACUUAUUAAAACUCAACUAAAAUGAAUGUUUAUACAAAAGGUACCCAAAAUGUAACAAAAACACCUUAUUUGUUCUCUAAAUGACCUUGAUUCAAGUCUAGAAUUGAUGUAAUAACUCUCAUUUCCUAGAGUUAUCACAAGUCUAAAGGGAGAUUUGCCAAAGAUGAUUUUUUUUUUAUCGCGAGAAACGACAUUGGAAAAAUAAUUAUCUUAAGUUAAAAAAAGGCAAGGUUAUUUCUGAUACAUGUGUAGCGGAACAUAAACUUUAGUUUGGUAGGCAUGGCGUUGACAUGUCACUCAGAUGAAUGGAUUUUGGAUUUGGGUUAUACUUAUCAUAUGUGUCCUAAUAAGGGCUGGUUUUUUAGCUUCAAAGAGCUGGAUGGUGGAGUUGUCUUUAUGGGUGAUGACAAUGCCUGUAAAAUCAUGGGAAUAGGUACAAUCCAAUUGAAGAAUCAUGACGGCUCAAUCCAAGUCUUGAUAGAUAUUUGCUACAUACCAAAUUUGAAGAAAAAUCUCAUCUCAUGAGGAAUCCUAGAAUCUAAAGGGCUUUCAAUCACUCUGAGAGAUGGAUUUUUAAAAGUAAUAGCUGGUGCACUGACGGUGAUAAAAAACACAAGAAGAAAUAACUUGUAGUAUUUCCAAGGAAGUACAAUUAUUGAAUCAACAUCAACAGUUUUGGAAAAGAUGCAGAUUUAGAAGCAACCAAGUUGUGGCGUAUAUGCUGGGACAUGCUGGUGAAAAAGUUUUGCAGACUUUGAUAAAGUAAGGUUUAUUGAAAUGUGCAAAUUCUUCCAAAUUGAAAAUUUUUAAAUAUUGUGUUUUGAGCAAGCAGACAAAGGUAAAGUUUAGUUCAACAAUUCACGAUACGCAAGGAAUUCUUGACUGUGUUCACCGUGAUGUGUGAGGACUUACCAAAACAGCUUCUUUGAGAGGUAUGCACUAUUUUGUUACUUUUGUUGAUGAUUAUUCAAGAAAAGUAUGGGUGUAUUUGAUUAAGAACAAGAAUGAAGUCUUAGGCACAUUUCUAAAUGGAAGAAAAUAGUCGAGACUUAAAUUGAUUGAAAGGCCAAAAGACUUCGCUCAGAUAAUGGUGGUAAGUAUAAGAAUGAUCCAUUUAUACAAUGUGCCGAGAUGAGGGCAUUGUGCGACACUUUACUGUUCGAGAUACACCACAGUAAAAUGGGGUUGCAGAACCCAUGAACCAAACUAUACUAGAGAAAGUUCGGUGUAUAUUGUCCAAUGCUGGACUGGGCAAAGAGUUUUGGGCUGAGGCAGUUGUAUAUGUGUGCCAUCUGAUCAAUAGUUUGUCAUUAUCUGCAAUUGAGGGUAAAAACCCAUGGAGAUGUGGACUGGUAAACUUGAUAAUGAUUAUGAUUCUUUAUAUGUUUUACCUAUUAUUAUUUAAAAGAAUCUAAGUUAGGCCCAAGAGUAAAGAAAUCAUUGUUCAUAGGUAUAACUGGUGGAGUAAAAAGAUAUCGUCUCUGGAGUCCUGUUAUGAAGAUGAUUAUUUUUAGUAGAGAUGUGACUUUUGAUGAAUCAACCAUAUUGAAAUUAAAAGAUUCUCAAGAGGAUGACAAGAGCCGCAAGUGGAGUUUGAAGGUUAAAGAUAAUCCAGUCGGUGUUGAGGAGACAGAUAGUGAUUCUCCAUUGACCGAAGAUGAUAAAGAGGUUUUGACUUAGGAACCUUCACAACAACAAGAUUCAUUUGCAUAUAGAAGGCCGUGAAGAGAGAUUCGCAAACUUACACGCUUUGUUGAUAUGGUGGUUGAUUAACACUAAAAAGUGUACGUGUAAUAAGGAUAAAAUUAUUAGUUUUCACUAAAAGUGUUGAUUAAUGCGCUCAUAACUUAUAAAUUAUAUGAAUGCUCCCCAAAUAAAUUUUUGUGUUAAAUUAAUUCGCAAUAUGUUAAUUUUAUCUUGUAAAUGUUUUUCAAGAAUAGAAAUGGAGUUGAACCUAAAAGCAGAAACAAAGAAGAAUUACUUGAGCCACUUAAAAUGUAUUAUUGAGGAGAUGUAAUUAACAAAUAUUAAAAUAAAAAUAAAAAAUAAUUAAAAAAUAAGUGGGCAAUCAUGUGUUCCUGACCAUCACACUUCUCAACAUUCAUUUAUAUUAUAAAAAUAAAAUAAUUGAAUAAAAAAAUUAAAUAAGAAUAAAAAGAAUGAAGUGGAGGCAAUUGUUGCCUAUAAAAGCCAACGAAGAGGAAAAAAAGCCAAUGGAGAGAGCUGAGUCGAGACGUGAGAUAAGAGAGCGAAGUUGAGGAAUUGUGUCUUUUUUUUCUUUUGUUGUGCAAUCAACUUCUUUGUAAUAUAUUUCAAAAGUUUGUCAAAUAAAAAUUUUUUUUUAUUUUCUUUCAAUAUAAGUGACUAAUUUUACUAAGCUGAAGUGAAGGGUGAAGCUCGAAGUUUCAAAUCAUAAAAUUAAUUACUUUCUCAAGUGAGUUUUAAGUUUAUUUUAUUCUUUUUUGGUUAUUUUUAUGUCAUGUUAAUUUAUAAAUUUCUUUAGAUCUAUAUGGUAUUUUGACAUAAUGCCGACACAUUAAUAUAGUGUGGGACAUUAGGUACUUGAUUUCAUAUUUAUACACACACAUAGCUAGUUAAGAAUUAAAUGAUAUAAUAAUUAACUGGUAAAAGUGAGGCAAAAUGUAAAAAUGAGAGAGUAUUAAAAUUAUAGUUUGAGUAACUGAGAGUGGAUCCCGUAACGUUAACAUAUUUUUAAAUUGAUUUCUAGUUAUUUUUUACUCGCAAUUAAUUUUCUUUGUUUUAAAUUAACAACUAGAUUUUAAAUUUCUUAUGGUUCGACCCCGGACUCACCAUGUUAUAUUACAACUAGACACUCUUAUACUUGAGAGUAAUAACACUUUUGAGACGUGUCAGUGACCUAUGCAAUUUCAGUUGUAGAUGGUAAUGUUUCUUCCACUUACAGAGAAGCAAUAAGUAGCCUUGAAAGUGUAUUGUGGAAGCUAGUAAUGGAUGAGGAAAUGCAGUCUCUUCAUAAAAAUAGAACUUAGGGGUUAGUUACACUGCCCAAGGAAAAGAAGGCAAUUGAGUGAAAAUGGGUGCAAAUGGGUAUAUCUAAAGAAGGAAGAAUUUCCUUAUAAGAAUGAAAUUCGAUACAAGGUUAUAUUGGUAGCGAAGGGUUACGCUUAGAAAGAAGGAAUAGACUAAAAUGAAGUAUUUUCUCCAGUUGUGAAACACUCAUAUAUUUGAAUUUUGCUAGCCAUGGUUGCGCAAUUUAAUCUUAAACUAGUUCUGCUUAAUGUAAAAAUUGUAUUUUUACAUGGUGAUUUGGAAGAGAAAAUCUAUAUGACUCAACCAAAUGGAUUCAAUAUUACUAGAAAAGAAAAUUGGGUUUGCAAAUUGAUAAAGUCACUUUAUGAGUUGAAACAAUUCUUAAAACAAUCUCUGAAGCAAUGAUACAAGCGAUUUGAUCAGUUUAUGAAAGGAUAAAGGUACACAAGAAAUAAAUUUGACUAUUGUGUGUAUUUUCACAAGUUACAAGAAGAAUAUUUUAUAUGAUAUGCUAAUAGCAUCCAAGAGAAAAGAUGAGAUUGAGAAGUUAAAGACUCAACUCAAUUAAGAAUUUGAGAUGAAAGGUCUGGGUAAAGUUAAGAAAAUUCUUGGCAUGGAGAUAUGCAGAGAUGGAGCUCGUGGCAAAGUUAGCUUAUCUCAGAAGUAAUAUUUGAAUAAGGUACUACAACAAUUUAGCAUGACAGAGCAGAUAAAACCUGUGACACCCCAUUGGCUUCUUAUUUUAAGCUUUCGGCACAACAAUCUCCUUCGACAAAUGCAUAAUGAGAAUAGAUGUUACAAGUUCCAUAUUCAAAUGCAGUGGGUAGCUUGAUGUAUGCAAUGGUGUGUACAAGACCUCACAUUUCACAUGCAGUUGGUAUAGUGAGUAGAUAUAUGCAUAAUCCUGGUAAAGGACAUUGACAAGCUGUGAAAUAGAUUCUACGGUACAUUUAGAAGAUCGUGGAUGUUAGUUUACUAUUUAAGCAAGAUGAUACACUUGGUCAAGGUGUGAUUAGGUAUGUCAACUCUGAUUAUGCUGGUGAUUUAGAAAAACGAAGGUCAACAACCGUAUAUGUUUUUACUUUUGCUAGAGGGCCAAUUAGUUAGAAGUCUACACUACAAUCUACAGUUGCACCGUCAACCACAGAGGCCAAGUACAUGGAUAUUACAGAGGUUGUUAAAGAGGUUAUUUGGUUUCAAGACUUUCUUGAAAACUUGGGAUUGGUACAGGAGCACAUUAAUGUAUAUUGCGACAAUCAACGACAGUCAAAAUGCUAUUCACUUAGUAAAGAACCAAGUUUAUCAUGCACGCACGAAGUAUAUCGAUGUACGAUUUCACUUUGUGCAAGAAAUUGUUGAUGAGUGAAAGAUUCUUCUUCAAAAAAUCAAGACUGAAAAGAAUCCCACAAAUAUGUUGACCAAGGUGGUGACAACGAUCAAAUUUCAACAUUGUCUAAAGUUGAUCAAUAUCCUGCAAGUUUAAAAUAGUGAGAAAAGUAGAGAUUGGAGGAUGAUUUGAUAUAUAGGGAGUUUAGUAUUCAACUCAUAUUUGCAUAAAUUUUCGCCGAGGUUGAGAAUUGGUAAAAAUUUAGCACCAAAUCCAACUUUUGUUGACCACAUGCAUAUGGCUAGCAACUUUUUGACUGCAAUUGCAUGUGCUAGCAUUAAAUUUCUUACUCUUCACCAAAGUCACACUGAAGCCAUUAAAAUUGAAAAAUGGGUAAGAUUUUUCAAUGCAUUCAUAUUGUAAGCUUCAUUUAUAAAUAGAGAAGUAGACCAUCAAAAAAAAAUUGUGAGAUCUAAGAGUAUGGUAAGUGAGCUCUUCAAGAGUGUAGAGAGAGUAUUUCAUUGGGUGUUAAAGAGAUCCAUUUGGGUGUAUUGGGUAUUGAAUUUUGAGAGUUUUUUCCAAUUUUGUAAAUUCCCAUUCAUUAGUAAAAUUAUCUUCCAAUUUUUACCUUUAGAUGUAGGCUUUAUGUCAAAUCACGUAAAUUAUUGUGUCAUAUUUUUCUUUACAUUUAUUUAUCACGUUUAUAUUUCAUCAAAAGUUGUAGUGACCUUGGUAAUUGCUUAACCGGUGCUUCCGUAACAAUAAUUGGCUUUCAGAACGCCCCCGUCUUUCUGCAAUUCCUUACUCUACAAACGCCCAGUUUUGGAACCAAGCAGCAUUUACCACAAUUUAUGACAAGAUUUAGAGUACCCUCACUUAUUGAUGAUAGCAUCCAUCGAAGCAAUGUUUGAUCUUGUGAUCUCCAAUUUUGAUAUUCUGGAUUAUCAAUUUUCUGAAUAGAUCCAUCAGCUCCAACUUGAGUGAACUGUUCUUCAGGUGUUAGUUUUUUUCCAGUGAUGUAGCCUUCCAAUCGAUUGUCUCUUAUGGAAGCUAAAACUUGAAAACGCCAAAGUAGAUAGUUCGAUCGAUCUAGUUUAAUUGGAGUGUUGAAAGAAAAAUUUAUUUGACUUUGUUGAUUUGUUUGCUGAGUACUAGAGCUUGCUCUUACUGGCUCUGAUACUAUGUUUGAAAGUUGAAUCGUGACUGUAAAAGUUGUUUGGGAGCUAAGAAAAUAAUAAUAAGAUUUGCUUGGAAACUAUUGACUUUUAUUGAAUCUCACAUUAUUACUUACAAAUACAAUCACAACCAUAUUUAUACUAACUUACAUAUCUCAACAGAAUUAAAUCUUUACUAACAAUUGAAUAACAGAACGUAAAACAUGAUUAACAGAUUUGCUGAGCUGGCUUCUUUGCUUAACUAACUGCUGACUCAUCAUUGACACACACGUGGUCAAUAUGCAACUCCCUUUUGUACACUGUGAGCUUCCUCAACAUGUACUUAAUUGUCACUGUAAUUCAAUAGCUCUCAAUCGAGCAUCACUGCAACGCUUUUCUCCGUCGCUAUCCGAAAAACUUUUGAUGCUCUACUAUACAUCUUAUUCUUUCUUGUACGCCAUUUAAAAUUCUGGGUCAUCUUGUGACCUCUUACAGUUCUAUUCAUGUGCCUUAUAAAAAGCUCUACUGAUACAAUGUCUUUCCUUUAAAAAUUGAAGCUGUGAAGCUGUACAUAUCUUCAUAUUCCUUUGAUGCACUGAUCACUACUUAUCAAUCUAGAGACAAGAAGAGUGCGAAGAGCAAGCAAAUUAAUUUACAGUAGAGAUUUUCAAGCAAUGAUGAAUAGAACCCAAAAGAAGAAGAGUGGAGAGAGGGGGCUAGCCAUUAGCCAAGCUACAGAAAAGAAAUGGCGAUCGACUGUGGAUCAAGUUAAGGCCUCGGAGAGGAUUUUUGAUGUUUGGAGAACUUUAGAAAAGAAAUUUGGUGUGCAAUUUGAAGCCAUGGUUCUUCAACUUAGAUAUGAGUUAAAUACUCUUAGGAAGGAAUCAAUGAGUAUUGAAGAUUACUGCAUCAAAAUGAAAAUUGUAGCAGAUAAACUUGCUAGUGCUGGAAGUCCUAUAACAGUGAAAGAUCUCAUGCUGACAAUUCUUAAUAGCUUAGGAGCAGGCUAUCGUGAUAUUGCUACCUUUAUAAUUGAUUAAAAAAUGGACUAUGAUGAUGCUUAUGCAUUAUAUUAGCUCUUGAAACCAGGCUUGAACUAGAGCAGAAUGAUAAAAGCAUGUUUAAUGCAAAUUAUGCUUAUACAAAUGCCUAUUAUCCAAGGGCAUUCUAUGCUCAAUCAAGAAAUAAUUUUAGAAGAGGAGGAUAUGCUGGUGCUCAGUUUGGCAAUACUGGUAGAAAUCAUACUGCUGGAAGAGGAAAUAUUUUUCAGUCUCCAAGGAUGUUUAAUGGCAAUCACAGAGGUGAAUAUGUAAGAGGACACUCAUUUGGCCCAAAUAAUGUUAACUCCUUUCAUGCACCUAGGAAUCCAAUACAAUUUACUCAGACUAGAGUUACUAAUAUGAAUGGACCUCAAGGAAUUCCAAGCAAUGCAGAAGAAUUGGUUUGCCAGAUUUGCUUUAAGCCUGGUCACACUGUUGAUAUUUGCUGGCAUCGAUUUGUGGAGGAUUAUGUCCCUUCUUCAAGGAGUCUAGGCAGAGGAAAAGGACCAAGAUCAGCAUAUAUUGCUAAUUUUGAUGGCUUUACAUAUCCAUAUCAAGGUUAUGAUAACUAUGAUAAUCAUCCUGCAUCUGAGGCAAGCUGCUAUUCUGGAAUUGAUAACUAUGAACCUGCAAAAGCUUAUGUGGCUAAUUUUGAAAGCUUUGCUGAUGAUGGCUGGUAUUUGGAUAGUGGGGCAACUCAUCACUUGACCAACAACAUGAAGAACUUGCAUUUUAAGGAAGACUACAAAGGUACUGAUCAACUCAUUAUUGGAAAUGGUCAAGGUCUGUCAAUUUCUCAUAUUGGUCAUGCAUUUUUAUCAUUUAUAGCUUCAAAACAUCCUUACAUACAUGCCUCCACUAUAGCACUUAAAGAUAUGUUGCUUAUUUCUACAAUCACUAAGAAUUUACUAAGCAUCUCCAAACUUACAUUUGAUAAUUCACUCUUUGUUGAAUUUUGUGAAAAUGUUUGUUAUGUUAAGGACAUGAAGGGGCAAGUUCUUCUGCAGGGCCUUGCUGAGAAAGGUCUUUACAAGCUGUUGAUGAAAUCUUCUUCCAUGUCAUCUUCUGCUUAUCACACAUCACCUGCCUUUCAUCUUUCUCAACUUUAGUCACAUAAACCAAUAUCCAUGUUGUCAUGCUCAAAUGUGUCUUCUAUUUCUUAUCAUUGUAAUUCCUUUGAUAAGACUUGUUUAAGCUCAGUUUCAAAUAAGUGUAACUAGAAACAUGAUGAACUUACUAUGUUACACAUAAAGUUUGGUCAUCCAAGCUCAACAGUAUUGAUGCAUUUGCUUAAGACUUGUAAACAAGUUAAAGUCUCUCAAAAAUCAAUUUUAUCUCAUGAGCAUUCUAUGUGUGAAGCAUGUCAAUUAGGAAAAGCUCACAAGCAAUAUUUUUCUACAACCGAAACCAAAACAACUCAAGUAUUAGAACUGAUACAUACUCAUCUAUGGGGGCCUUCACCUACUACAUCUAGAAAUGGUUUCAAAUACUACAUUAGCUUUGUAGAUGAUUAUAGUAGGUAUACCUGGAUUUACCCACUCAAACUCAAAUCAAAAGCUUUUGAAGUCUUCAAAUUAUUCAAAAUUCAAGUAGAGAAUCGGUUCAAUACCAAAGUCAAGAUGCUGCAAUCUGACUGGGAGGGAGAAUAUAGAGUUUUUACUGACUUCUUAAACCAGAAUGAGAUCAUUUUCAGACAUUCAUGCCCUUACAAACAUCAUCAAAAUGGUCUAGUAGAAAGAAAACAUAGACAUAUAAUUGAGUUAGCUUUGACUUUCUUAGCUCAAGCUAAUCUUCCUUUUAAAUUCUGGUGGGAAGCUGUUCAUAUAGCAGUGUAACACAUAAACAGAUUACCAACACCUAUAUUGAAACUCUUAUCUCCAUAUGAGAAGCUUUUUAAGCAUAAACCAGAUUACAACUUCCUUAAAUGUUUUGGUUGUCUUUGUUAUCCAUACUUGAGAGAUUUUAACAAACAUAAAUUUGACUUUCAUACCAGCAAAUGCAUCUUUAUUGGUUAUAGCUCAUCUCAUAAGGGAUAUAAAUGUCUUACAAGUUCAGGUCGAGUUCAUAUCCUUAGACAUGUUGUUUUUGAUGAAAGUGUAUUUUAAUAUACAAUAAUCUUUGUUUCUUCAUCAUCUGAAAAUGUUGCCAACUCAGAAACACCAGUGUUAAAUUUCUCUAAACAGCAAGUCUAUCAUCUUUCAACUCUACCCUUAUUCAACAACAGCUUUGAAGAUACUUUCUCAGCAGGUGUGCCAAGUGAUGAACAAACUCCUGUUUUGCCUGAGCAUACAGAUAAUUUGCAUCAACAAGAAUCAUCUAGUUAUUCUUUAUCAGAACCAUCAAUAUCACAAGUUAUCCCUCAAAUCCCUGAAUCUACUCAAACACAACCUGAACCACAAACAAGCACCAUCUAGUUAUUCUUUAUCAGAACUAUCAAUAUCACAAGUUAUCCCUCAAAUCCCUGAAUCUACUCAAACACAACUUGAACCACAAAUAAGCAAUCAACAACACUCUGAAUAUAAUCCAAACAGAAUUCAGAUCUCACAACCUACACAUAAAAUGAUUACCAGAUCAAAGUCUGGAAUAUUGAAGCCUAAGUUGUAUACAGCCACCUUGAUCAACAAAGAACCUAACACAAUUCAAGAAGCUCUGAAUGAUAAAAAUUGGUAUAAGGCCAUGAAAGAGGAAUAUAAAACUUUGAUCAGGAAUGAGACUUGGUCUCUUGUACCACCUCCAGCUGAAUACAAAAUAGUUGGAAACAAAUGGGUGUUCACGGUUAAACAAAAUAGUGAUGGCAUAGUUGGAAACAAAUGGGUGUUCAGAUUGGUUGCUAAAGGUUUCCAACAAACUGAAGGGAUUGAUUAUUUCGAAACUUUUUGCCCUGUUAUAAAGGCUUCCACAGUGAGGGUUAUAUUAAGCUUGGCUACAAUGCAUAGUUGGAUGAUCAGACAUGUAGAUGUCAAUAAUGCUUUUCUGAAUAGUGACUUAACGGAAGAUGUCUACAUGUAUCAGCCUGAGGGUUUUGUUGAUGAGAAGAGAUCAUGUUAUGUAUGUAAGUUGAAGAAGGCUUUAUAUGGUUUGAAACAAGCUCCCAGAGCUUGGUUUGAUAAACGAAAAGGUUGUUUGGUUGUAAACUGGGGAUUUCAAAAUUCCAGAGCUGAUACUUCACUGUUCUUUAAAGGAAAACAAGAUUCAAUGAUAUUAUUCUUGAUCUAUGUUGAUGACAUACUGAUAACAGGGCCUAACAGUGAUGAACUUGAAAAGUUUAUCUCAGACUUCAGCAAAGUGUUUGCAUUGAAAGAUUUGGGAAGACUCUCAUAUUUUCUGGGUAUAGAAGUAUUUUAUGCUAAGAACAACAUUUACUUAUCCCAAAGAAAAUAUGUUAGAGACCUGCUGAGCAAAGCUGAUAUGCUUCACUGCAAAGGAUGUGAUACACCAAUGGUUACAGGGACAAAACUUCAAAAGGAAGCUAAGGGAUCUUUGGGUCAGCAUGUUGAAGAUGCAACAAGUUAUAGAAGUUUAAUUAGAGGGCUGCAGUAUUUCGUUCUGACCAGGCCAGAGAUAGCUUUUGCAGUGAACAAGUUAAGCCAAUACGGUUCUGCACCUACACUACAACAUAUCAUAGCCUAUAAGAGAAUGCUUAGAUAUUUGAGAGAAACAGAAGACUAUGGAUUGAAAUUUUCAGCUGAUGGAGAAAUAAAGUUAACAGGUUUCACAGAUGCAGAUUGGGCGUGUGAUAUUGAUGAUAUGAAAUCAACAGGUGCAUACUGUAUUUACUUGGGAAAUAACUUGAUAUCUUGGUCAUCCAAGAAGCAAUCCAUAGUUACAAGGUCAAGUGCAGAGAGUGAGUACAGAGCUCUUGCUUCUGCAAGUGCAGAAAUUACAUGGUUAUAGUCAUUGUUCAAAGAACUCAAGAUUGAAUGUAUUUCAGUGCCCACAAUCUGGUGUGAUAAUAUAAGUGCAACUGAGCUGGCCAAAAAUCCUGUCUACCACUUGAGAACCAAACACAUUGAAUUGGACAUGCACUUUAUAAGAGACAAAGUGUUAGCAAGAGAGCUGGAAAUCAAUUACAUUCCCCGUGAAGAACAGAUUGCAGACAUCCUGACCAAGCCUCUCACAUUCACUCAAUUCAAUUAUCUCAGGAGAAAACUUAAUGUGCAGCCAUACCCUUUAAGUUUGAGGGGGACUAUUAAGGAAGCUCACAAUGUACAAAAGGGAGUUGUAUAUUGAGCACGUGUGUAUCAAUGAUGAGUUAGCAGUUAGUUGAGCAAAGAAGUCAGCUCAGCAAAUCUGUUAAUCAUGUUUUACAUUCUGUUCUUCAGUUGUUAGUAAAGAUUUAAUUCUGUUGAGAUAUGUGAGUUAGUAUAAAUAUGGUUGUGAUUGUAUUUGUAAGCAAUAACGUGAGAUUCAAUAAAAGUCAAUAGUUUCCAAGAAAAUCUUAUUAUCAUUUUCUUAGCUCCCAAACAACUUUUACCGUCACGAUUCAACUUUCAAACAGUACACCAUCGUAAUCUUUGGAACCAACAGGACCCCAAGUUUGUCCCGGUCAAGGAGUUUCUCGUACUUCGUUAAAUCGGACGAAAAAUUUAACCCCCGAUUAAAUAUGAAGAAGUUGAUACUCGGCAUCGAUAAAUAUAUAUCCUAUAAUAGAACAAACACACCAGAAAUUUGAACACCAGUUAUAAGUACAUACGAUGUAGAUAGAAUAUUGUCCACACCACAUGUUAGAACCCUAGCCAAGUCAUGCUUGGAUGGGGCAUGUCCCUGUGCUGGCAAUUUUAUUCUUAAUAUCGUCAAAGUACGUACUUAGCAUUACCGUAAAUAUAUAUAUCCUACUAACACUUAAUACGCUUUGUGUAGUUUACAACUUUAGAUCGAGAUUUAUGGCUAGGACAUAUGGCGAGGCUUUCCCUUUGCCUAACUUUACAUACCGCCGCCACCUCCACCACCGCCUCUACCGCCGCCUCCUUGACCUCCACCUCCUCCGCGGCGUCCGCCUUGACCGCCACCACCACCUCCUCGACCUCCUUUACCUCCUCCCUGUCCGCCACCUCCACCGCGGCCUCCUUGUCCUCCUCCACCUUGGCCACCACCGCCUCUUCCUCGACCUCCUCGACCUCCUCCCUGUCCGCCACCUCCACCGUGGCCUCCUGGACCUCCUCCACGGCCCUCACCUUUACCUCAAUUAUAUUAAUCAUAGCAGGACAAACUAAAAAUAAAAGAAAAUGGAGUGAUGACCACUAACAAUUUUCUGUCGUAGUUUCGGUAUCUAUGGGUAAUUGGCCUUUUCUUCAUCUUCUUGUUUCGUCUCCUUUGCUGUAUCUACUGCACGGAAGUUCAAUUUAAAAAAAAAAAAUGUAUAAGCGUUCUCAGACAUUCAAACUUUAAAUUGGAUGCAUCGAAUAUUGCAUGCAAUAAAAUUUGUACUUUAAGGGAAGGGCUUUACAAAAAUGUAAUUUGUAGUUUCUUUUUUAAUAUGUAUACCUCGGCAGAACAAGGGAGUUUAAAGGAAUGCUAAAAAAAUGUAACUAUUCUAUAUAUAUAAUUACGUCAACUUUUGACCUUAAAGCAAAAUAGAAAAUUAUUAUUUGAUCGAGAAUGUCAAAUACAUCUAGUGUUAAAAAUGAAUACAGAUAAAAUCAUAUAUAUAUAUAUAUAUAUCCGCUUAAUACAUAAAGAUACUAACAUUCUGCAACUAAGCAGGGGGAUGAGAACAACUAGUGCAAACAGAAGAGCUAAGAGAGUAAUAGCCUUGGUCUUCAUUUUGCUUGCAAAUUAAGAUAACCGCUAAGUCUUAACAGAGAGAGCUUCUAAAAAUGAUAUGAGCACCCGGGCUGCUUUAGCCAUUAUUUAUAGUGCCGAAGCAGCAACACAUACUGGUCACUAAGAGGAAAGUGAGCGGUUAGAAGAAAAGUGAGAGUAAUACAGUUUUUUUCCCCCCUCUUAAAAAUCUUCCAUGUACAACAUCUUAGCUGGCUGAUGAAGAUUUUGGCACCUAGUCGUAGUGUAGGAACUUGGAAAGACUUACCUCUUUCCCCAUGACAGAAAUCAAAUUUGAGGAACGCCAUUUGGAUUUGUUUGAGCUGAGACAUAUAUGACACGUGCUAUUUUGGAUACUGAAACUUGCAACUUGUGAGCAUGCAUGCAUGCAUGGCAGGUUGUGUUGAUGGUACCUUGCACCGCUUCUUGAUGCUCAGGAGUAUAAAAGAGAAGGUGACAGCUUACCCUGCUUCUACUAAAUUGUACAAUUUAGUGUUGGCAACUGGCAAAUGAACUCCGAAGCUUAUCAUCUGGCACAGACAAGAGUAUCAAGACAUUAUUAUAAAUGCAAGUCGUGGUGUAAGAUUAUUAAAAGAUAAGUACAAAUAAGAUCUAAAUUUUUAGUUAAUUAAUAUUAUAUACACAUAUAUCAAAGGAUUUGAAACAUGAAGAAAAAUACAUGUUUCUUAAAACAACAGGAAUGUUUCCAUCAUUGUUUUCUUCAUCUGUAUGAAUACGGUUUUAUCUCUAUCUCUCUUGCUACUCCAAAAGGUUUACCGGUUGUGUCAAUUGGAUCCCAUGUAGAAUUCUACUUAUUUGGAUGCCAUAAGGAGUCAACAUCCAAUAAGAAAAAGAAAUCAAAACAAAUGUAUUCUUGUUGAUUAGGGGCGGGAUCGCACGUGAGAUAAUUAAUUGUUUUUUAUUAAUAUAUUAACAUGAUGAAAUUAAGUUUCUACAAAAAUUUAUUAAUAAUGUGAUGUUACUCUAAAGUUAAAUACUUUCAUUUCCUAGGAGAUAACCUUUCUGGUUUUCUUCUCUUCUUAUGGAAUUAUGAGAUCAAAGGAUUUAAUUCCCUCACACAUGCUUUGGAGGUAGAAAUUCCUCUAUUAAUGGGAUGUAGUGACGCUUCCUUUUGUGGUUGUUAAUUAGUUUUAGUUGAUUGGAUCGGUUGCCACGCAUCAUUUAGAAAACAAUUUUGUUACAAUUUUGUAAACAACAAUGCCGUGAUCCUAAUAUUUUUAUUCUAACUGAUUUUACAUUUAUUUAUUGGAUUAUAUAAUAGUUAUUUUGUAAAAAAACAAAGAGUGAAACCUCCUAUUAUGAGAAUUCUCCUACUUUUUCUAAUAAUUUUUUUAUUUAAUUUUUCAAUUAAUAAUGAUUAAAAGUUUAGUCAAUUAAUUAAAUAAUUAAAGUUAUUCUUAUGGCUUGUAGUACUUGCUUCCUACUUGGAGGAUGAACAACGAAGUACACCUUCAAUUUUCAUUCUCAAAAUGUGAGAAUGAGGAUAUUUACAGUCAUGAAAUAAAGUUUAUUUCUAAUUUUAGAUUUUUCCAGAAAUAAUAAAACUAGAGUAAUCAUCUUAAUUUCUUAUUUUAUACCUUAACAGACUCCCAUAGACGCUCCUUUGUAUCAUCUGGAACUCUACGCUAAUCGUUGUAGAGGAUUGGAAUUGAUGUACGAGCCAAAACACCAAUAUACGUAGCUAGCUCAAUGACUUUUUCACCAACUGGAACACCAAGGCUGUUGUAUUUAACCACAAACUUUCCACUUCUUUUCCUCUUCUUGUUUUGUUCUGACCCAACAGUGUCACUUCUGCUUUGCUUACUGCUCUCAGGUUCAUCCUCGUUACCAUCUCCAAACUCAUCAAGAUCAGGGACAUGAUCGGCCAGGGGCGUUCCAGGAUCAUAUCCUUCGCGGAUAAGUGCCUCAUGGUACUCUGAUUCCUCACCAACAGAUCCAUCAUUUUGUUAAUCUAAAAACUCAUCGAAAUGGGCAUUAGAUUGCUCAGACGAAGAAAUCUCAGGGACAUUUUUUCCCUUAUCCAUGAUGAAUUCGUUACCAUUUCCAAACUCAUCAAGAUUAAGGACAUGAUCGGCCAGGGGGGUUUCAGGAUCAUAUCCUUCGCGGAUAAGUGCCUCAUGGUACUCUGAUUCCUCAUCAACAGAUCCGUCAUUUUAUUCAUCUAAAAACUCAUCGAAAUGGGCAUUAGAUUGCUCAGACGAAGAAAUCUCAGGGACAUUUUUUCCCUUAUCCAUGAUGAAUUCGUUACCAUUUCCAAACUCAUCAAGAUUAAGGACAUGAUCGGCCAGGGGGGUUUCAGGAUCAUAUCCUUCGCGGAUAAGUGCCUCAUGGUACUCUGAUUCCUCACCAACAGAUCCAUCAUUUUGUUAAUCUAAAAACUCAUCGAAAUGGGCAUUAGAUUGCUCAGGCGAAGAAAUCUCAGGGACAUUUUUUCCUUUAUCCAUAAUGAAUAUCACAAUUGUAGAACAAAAUCAAAUAAUAAUAAUAAUAUAUUACCACAUAAAAACUGCCAAAAAAUACAAAAUAGAAUAAUAACAAAUAGCAUAAAAUACUUCUUGUAUUAACCUUAACAUAUAUCAUUUUGAGAAGGACUCAACAAAUAGCUCAUGCAAACAAACACAGAAACGAUAUUCAAGGUCCAAUCCAAAUUCCCUCCUUACUGGCUCGUGCGCACAUUGCAGCAUCAUCGUCAAUAGAGUUUAUGUUAUCAGUACUUGGAAAUUCAGUAGUCAAUGAAGGGUAUUCCACUGCAUCUUCACUUCUUUGUGUGGGUUUACCUCUUCUAGGCAUUUGGCAUACAACUGACCACUUCUUAUCAAGCUGACCAGGUAAAUAAAAAACUUAGUUGUCUUGAGAAGCUAAAAUAAAUGGAUCAGAUUUAUGACUCAUUCGUUGCAAGUCUACUAAAGUAAAUCUAAGUCUAUCCUUCAUAACACCACCUCUGGUAUGUACCUAGUCACACUUCAUUAUUGGAAUUCUAAAGAUAACAUAAUCUAGAUCGCAAAUCUCUCCAAUCACUCCAUAGUAUGUGAUGUUAGAAGUGACAGGAUUUUUAUCUUUUGAACUUGCGACUGAAAUUGUUUGUGCAACCAAUGACACUCCACUAUUUUGAGUAACUCUAUUUAAGUCUCGAUCUCUUGUAACAAAGUGAAAACCAUUUAUGUCAUCCCUUGGGAUAACCAACGGAUUGUUUGAGUAACAACGUGAUCGUUCUCUAUCAACAUAUUUACCUAUUAUUAAUCGACAUGAAUAUAAUGUUAAACAAGCACAAACCGAAACGGAAAGGAAAAAUUGAAUUAAUUAUACUAAUGUUAUCAAAACUUUAUCUGUUAGCCAAUCUGCAAAUGUUCGGUUGUGUUCAUCUUGAACCACUUCUCAUUUUUUCGUGGAUGCCAAAGUUGUAACCAAUCCAUAUGCUCUUUAAAAAUCAAUUACAAAGACAAACUUUUCAGGUUCCUAAACUACCAAAACUUGACAAGCAUAAAGCUAAAAUAACACAAGUUAGAUAACAUCACCUUAUAUAAGGCUGAACUUUCUUAGUGUUAUGCAAAACAUACAAGUGUGCUUGAUCUAACGAAGUUCGAUCAAACUCAUGGGCUUAUCAAUUUCUAAAUUCUGCACAUGUCCAGAUGGAACCCCAAUUGUGGGCAUGUUUUCCAAGUAUUCUACACAAAAUUCUAAUGCUUCCUCGGCAAUAUAACUCUCCGCUAUGCAACCCUCAGGACAGUUACGAUUUCGAAUAUAACCUUUUAGAGUUUUCAUGUAUCGCUCAAAAGGAUACAUCCAUCGAAAAUAUACGGGGCCACAUUGUCUAACUUCACUCACUAAGUGAAUAGUAAGAUGGACCAUUAUGUUAAAAAAAGAAGGGGGAAAAUAUUUUUCAAGCAAGCACAAAGUCUUUACAAGGUUUUUCUCCAAUUCAUCUAGCAUUGUCACAUCAAUCACAGUCUCACACAACGAAUUAAAGAAGAAACAUAACCUAAUGAUAGCUUCUUUAACAUGUUUGGGCAGCACACACUUUAUGGCAAUUGGCAAAAGUUGUUGCAUAAUAACAUGACAGUCAUAGGACUUAAGACCCUGGAGUUUAAAAUUCUUUUUUGGCACAAGAUUCCUAAUAUUUGAAGAGUAUCUAGUAGAAACCUUGAUCCUUUUCAAAGCUGCAUAGAAUCUUGCUUUUUCCUCCUUAGUUAAGGUGUGACAAGCAUGAGGAAGCUAUGCACGAUUGUUGUUUCCUUUAACUUAUGGUGUUAAUUUGGCCUAAUUUUCAUUUUCAAGAGAUCCAUCCUCAAUUUCAGUCCAUUUUUGGACUUUCCAGGAAUAUGCAGCAGUAUACCAUAGAUGUUCUCACACUAAUUCUUUUCAAUGUGUAUAACAUCUAAUUGAUACCGCACAAGCAAGUGCUUCCAAUACUCUAAAUUAUAAAAUAUGGAUUUCUUCUUCCACCACACAAGAUCAUCAUUGUUCUUACUUUUACUCUUUUUACUAUUACUUUUCCCCUAUUUAUUAUCAAUAGAGUAGACCAGCUAGAAAAUUUCCUCCCCGGUGAAUAGUUUUGGAGGGGUUUCAUCACACAUUAUUGUCAAAGGCUUUUGUUUGGAACCAAAAUUUAUAACCAUAAGGAAGCUAAAGUCGAUGCCUAAUGUAUACAUUUUUUCCAUUGUGUUUAAGUCUACAUUUUGGUAUUUCUACACUACAAUAUGGGUAGAUGUUGAGUGUUAGAAAAUGCAUAUUUAUAAAGGAGAAAACCGUCAUUUUACAUUUCAAGUCUUACUAACAACCCUUACUUUUAUGUAUUUAACCUUCUUGUUAUUUAAUUACAUGUGUUUUAUUUUAAUUAAGUAUUUUAUGUAUUUUAGGGGCAUCAUAGUCAUUUUACAAUAAACGAGAAAUCAGAUGGCAAAACGAACAUCACUUUUGAACUCAGGACGGUCGAAAACAUUAGGAGGAGCAUAAAAGGAAAAAUGGCACUAUUCACAUGUACGGUACUAUUCACGUGUACGGUACUGUAUACGUUACUGUUCACGACACUGUUCACAUAGACGGAUCGAUGACGUGGCAUUGACNNNNNNNNNNNNNNNNNNNNNNNNNNNNNNNNNNNNNNNNNNNNNNNNNNNNNNNNNNNNNNNNNNNNNNNAGAGAAAACUGCUGUACCGUACAUCCGCCUUGGCCGUACAGCAGAUUUGGUAAAUUUAUUUUCUUUUCCCCUCUAGUUUUUGUGGAUGUUUUGACUUCUCGUCGACAAAUAAUAAUAGUCUUGUCUAGAUACCGCUUUGGUUAUACCGGCUCUCUAGUAUAAGGUUAUUAUUAUUUGGCACGAUAAGCCCUUAGCACCAUAUUGAUUAGAGCGUGGUUCAUGAGGUGUGGAUUCCCCCCUCAUGAUUUAAUUGGCAUUAAUACGGAUUAUUUAGCCCAUGAUGCAUGUUGAUACGGAUCCAGAUACCCAAGUACGUCAAUUUAAUAGAUUUUCUCUUCAAUUUAUUCUCUCAAUUGCAAUUCCAAUUUUAGAAUUUAUUCUCGCCAUUUUAAUUUAAUUAUUAGCAUAUUCCAAAUCAUUUCCACCAUAAAUCCAACUACCCAUUUACAAAAUUAAUUCUAUAUAUAAUUAAAAUCCACCUCCUUGUGGGAUCGACACUCGUCACCAUUAGUCUAUACUACAAUAGAUUCGUACGCUUGCGAGUACAUUAAAAUUUGCACAACAGUAGACAUAUUAUCUUUUAACAUUACAUCCCGCUAAAUUUUCGUAUACCGGGAAGUCAUUUAUUGUCCAUAGUAAUACAGCCCGCAAAUUAAAGUACUCAUUUUUAUAGGCAUCAUAUGCCUCCACCCCAACAUCCCAUAAAGUUUUCAAAUCCUCAAUAAAAAGUUGUAAAUACAUAUCAAUGUCAUUACCCGAUUGUUGAGGACCAGAAAUCAAAAGGGACAACAUCAUGAAUUUUCGUUUCAUGCACAACCAUGGUGGAAGAUUAUAAGUAAUAAGAAUUAUUGGCCAGCAGUUAUAUGUACUACUAAGAGAAUUAUGUGGAUUGAUUCCAUCAACUGAUAGAGAUAGGCAAAGGUUUCUAAGAUUUAAAGCAAAGAUUGGCCAUUUCUCAUCUACUAACUUCCAAGAUGGUGAGUCACCCGGAUGUCGGAGUUUACCAUCAACCAUCCUCUCAUUUGCAUGCCAAGUCAAGUCCCUAUCAGUUUCUAAUGACUGAAACAUGCGCUUAAACCUAAGUAUAGGAGGAAAAUAUCAUAAAAUUUUUAUAAGAACCCCUUUCCUAUAUUGGUCUACAAUACCAUCAUUUUUCUUCCAUCUACAUAACCCACAAGUAAGACAUUCAAAAAGACUUUCAUACUCUUUUAUGAGAGUAUGCAAUCGUUUGGGCAAGCAUGAAUUUUAACAUAUUCUAAGCCCAAAGCUAACAUUGUCUUUUUAGCCUCAUACAUAGAGGUUAGAAUUUCAUUAUUUUCAGGGAAAACAUCUGCUAAAACACUCAAUAAUGCAGAAAAGCUACUGUUAGACACCCAAAUCUACCCUUCACGUUGAACAAUUUCACUAAAAUGAUAACUUAGUAAAUUUUGUGUAUCCUAGGUAUAAGGGUUUCUCAGCUUGUUCUAGCAACUCUUUAAAUACCUUAGGGUCCUCACAACAACCCUUAUAAGCAUCAUUAACCAUUUCUAACUCAUUACUAUUGUCAAACUCUAUAUUUUGUUGUUGAAAAUGGUUUUCUCUUUGAGGAGAAUGACUCUUACGAAUCUCUUCCCUAUGCUAAAAUCAAUUGUCGUAUUUCACAUCAAAACCAUGCAUAUAUAAAUUAUCUUUUACAGUUGUAGGUAUUUCAAAUGAUAAAUUCCCACAAUCAAGGUAUGGACACCUAAUGACACUACUGCCUCCAGCAUUUUUUAUAGCAAAAUUUAUAAAUUUCUCGACACCCUCUUUAUAUUCUGUCGACAGUUGAUUACAUUGAAUCCAAAAUUUAUCCUUUUCUGGCUUAACAAUUAAUGUUCCUGACAUAUACAUAAAACAAAAAAAGAAUGUACAUACUUAGAAUAUUUGUCUAAUGUUACAGCACCAUGUGAAAUAAACAAAGUUAAACCUACGUGAGGCCAUUCAAAUUAAACACAAUUUGGCCCAUAUAGUUUUCUUUUUUAUAUUAAAGAAACAAUCCACUUUACGGAAAAGUAUGUUCAUGGUCCAGAAACAAAUUUAAAAAUUACAAAUAUAGCUACCAAGAAAGCUGAUAAAUUGAAAUUCAUACUUUUCAAAAGUUCACUCUCCUAUUAUACUAUCAAUAUAAUGAAUAAGACAGACUCCACAACAAACACGUUACAUAGUAUCAUAAUUAGAAAUUUAAAGAUAUGUAAAUUUUAAGCAAGUGUAUAACAACUUCAAAAAGUCAAAUAAUAGAGGAUAAGAAAUGAAACUUACUAGAUUAAACACAACAAUUUGCUGCUAUAUCCAAUUCCAGGUAUAAAUCCAGCAACAAUAUUUAUUACUGAAAUAUAUUUUGAAUGAUCAGUUGAUAGAAUUCCAAAACUUGGAUUCAAGAGGGCUAAAAAGGUACAAAGAAAUUACAUUAAUCAUAUGAGUAAGCCUAAGAAGAAAUAAUAAACUACAACUUCAAAUAAUAUACAUCAGUAGAACGAAAAUGAAAGCAAACACAAAGAAAAGCUUCAAGUACCUUAAUAUAAUGCUUUUAACAAAUCAAGAACAUUGAACUGUCACGUUUAUGCAGCAAUCACAACUAUUUAUAUUUGACACGCAAAUGUUAUGACUAAAGAAAACAACAGUAACAACAAUAACACCAGCAGAUGCAAAAUAGCUACAACACCAAAUGAAUAGGUAGAUGACAAUGAGAGGUGAGAAUCCCUCAAUUUUACAUAAAAGAAUCAGCUACUAAGAAUCCCUCCUCAUGCUUUGUUAUAGACAUUUUAGGCCAAUAUUUAAAGAAUCAGCUAUCAGAACAUAAAGAUAUAUAAGUUUUAGAUUAUCACCAUCUUCAUACACUAACACUCAUCUAACUUUACGAAUCUUCAAUAUCAGAAUUAGCUAGAAAAAAAAAAAAUUCACACACAGACACAUGAAUAUUAAUCAGAAUUACCUAGAAUAAAAACAAAAUUAACAACAUUAUGCAAUGCACGAUUACAACUCAAAAUAGAACACAAAAUAUUUUUAAAGACUAUCUUCUUGGGAAAUUAUUUAGUAAAUUUAUUACCGAAGUAUAUGCAAUACAUGCAAAUACAUUUAAAUUUUUUACAAAUUAUUUACUACUUUACACAAAAGUUGAAUGAAUAGUCAAAAUUAAAUGCAUGCAAAUACAUCAAUGACUCACCAGUGGGUGUGAAGCUUCAAUUCACCGUCAAGGCUAGGGUUUUAACUUCGGAAAUAAUGAUUUGGGUCUUCUUUCACGGUAAGCGAUUGGGUUUCUUUCAGUCAAUAAAAGUAUUUUGGUUGUUGUUCUCAUUCCAAUUUGGGUUUCGAUUAGCAUUGACUUUGUCCUAGCAAAGAGAGACGAUUCAGUGACAACCGCAGCAAAGAGAGACGAUUCAAUGAAACAACCAGAACGAUUUUGAAAUGAUGGGUGUUUGAGUGUCGUUAGUUUGCUAUGGCCGGCCUUUGAGGGUUUGCUGCAAGUGUGCUAAUCGAUUUUGAGAUUCCACAAUGACACUUGAAAAUUUUCUGAACACUUAGAAAAACAUUUGCCUCUUUUCUCACAAAAAUGUUUCCCCCCAUUACAAAAUGCAACGUUUUAUUAAUUUUUUUUGUUAUUUACAUUUCUGGUUUUUCUCAAACACUUGUAAAACACAAUUUUUUUUAAUUUAAAUUUGUUACUUUAACAGAGACGAAAUUGUUUCACUUUUUUUUAGUAAUAUAAUAUUUUUAAAAAUUAAGUCAAACUCGCGUAAUUGAAGUCAACAUAAAAAAUCCGUAUUUCAUUCUUGAUAGCUAAAUAAUUUAUCACUAGUCUAUCAUAGUUUCUUGAUAUAUGAUAUUUAUAUCACCAAUAUAUCAUAAUCUGUUGAUAAACGAUAUUUCUAUCACAACUAUGUCAUAAGUGUAUGACCAAAAAUAAAUCUAUCACGAUUUUAUUGUCGUAGGCCUCCAGACCAAAAAUUGUCACACAAAAGACUGUCAUAAUAGGUACUUUUUCUUGUAGUGUUUCCUGGCCAUUCUCAUAUUUCUUCCCUUUCUCAACAUCAUCAUCUUCGCCCUUUUUUACUUUCUCAUUUUCUUUAUACUUUUCAGAAUAGCUUUGGUAUGCAUCCUUACCGAUUUGAUCUUUGUGAGUGUAUUAGUAUCCACCAUUUGCUAUCAUAGCCACUUUAGCUACACUUGUAUUAGAACAUUUUAAAUGGAUUUUCAACUAUAAUAUUCGUUAUUUAAUUUUAUUCCUAUAAAAGUCUACAGCAGUAGGGUAACUUUUUAGUUAGAACACUAAUUCAUUCAUCAACUACCAAAUUACUAUAUAUUAUUUUAUCGAUCUUAUGAAAUAAUAUUUCCAUAUCGAUAUAUUGAUGUAAUAGCUUUAAAAAAUCCUAAAAAUACAUGCUUAUAUUUAUGAAAUCAUGAGUAUGUAUUAAAUUUUAUAGAAUGGGCAAGUAAUCACUCAAUACUCUCACAAUUUUUCUUUCUAGUAGGAAGCUUUAGCCAGUUCUCUAGGCGGCACUUCCGAAGAGAUGAGAGCAACUACGGCUACUAAAAGAACGAAAUGACAAAGGAGCGUUUUCAAACUUUAGUCAACAAAUAUCACAACUGUAAGAAAUUCUGCACAAGGUUGAAAAGUCUGAAUUUAUUGAAAUCAAUGCACGAAGAUUUAAUUAACAAGCUACACAUCACUAGAAACUCUAUGAGUCAUGAAUUUUAAAAACUUCUACAAUGUUUUAUUUGAAGUUUUCUAUAUUAAGAUGUGACUAAAUGAAUGUUAACUUCUCAAAUUCACUAUUGAACCUGACUUAGAAUUCAAAACAUGCCCUGCUUUAUUUUCUUCCAACUAUUUAUAGCUAAGAUAUGUACCACAUUAUCUAUAACAAGGUUGGGAGCAUGUGUGAUUUUGAAUAUGUAACUUAGAAGAGAUCUCUUGUCUAGAGAUCUUUCAUUCAACUCUGCAUCUUUUAUGUGGAUUCUUUAUAAUGGUGAGUUAUCGAACCUUUUAUCUCUUACAAGACAUUGGAUGAUAAAUUUUCUGUAUCCCGUUAUAAUCCUCUAGAAAGCUUAUCUUUUACUCUUAUUUUUACCUACUGUUUGUCUACUUUAAAAAUAAAAGUUCAAUUUAUCUUUAGUUCACUGUCACUAAAAGGAGCAGAGACUUUGAGCCCGUGAUGUUAACCAAGUAGAAAAGCUACUUACUGUAUCAGUAAGUAAAUUAAUUUUUGAAGGGUGAGAUAAUAUGGGUCUUCUUCUCAAAAUUUAUAAGCUGGAGGGAGAGAGACGUUUAGCCAAAAAUGGAUGCGCAAACUAUACCCUCAAGUAUACAAAGUUGUUUGAGAGUUUUCUAGUUUUCAAAUUGCUUCUAUAAUUGACUUUUCAAUUGUUCAUCUUAAUUUUUCAUUUUUUCCUUUGAGUAUAUUUUAGUAAGUCACAAGAGAUCUUGGAUAGCAUUUUCCAAUAACUAUUAAUCGAUAAUGGAUUAGUUGCGAUUUGGGUUUUGCGUGUAUAUAUACUAUACAUGUCAGUCUAAUUAAGCUAAGUGGGUCAUUUGUUGUGCAAAUUUUAAUGUACUUGUAAGCACACGAGUCUAUUGAAACACAGAAUAUGAAUAAUGAGGUUAAACCCAUAGAGACUAUCAAUUUUUAGAAAAGUAAAAUUUAAUUUAAGCUAAUUAUAACUCUACACUAGUUAGAAAAGUAAAUAUUUUGUUUAAAGAAAUUAAAAUUAAAGACGCAAUUAAAAUUAAAACGAGUAAUUUAACACAAGAAUUCAAGAGGUUGAAGCUACCAAGGUUUUAGAAUUUACCACAAUUUAACUUAACAAUUAUCUAAUUAUCAAUCAAUUUCUAAUUUUAUAGCGACAACUCAAAAUCAAUUUAUGUCUACUUAUGAAUAUAACAAUUAAGCUCAAUUAAAAUUAAUCUUGUGUAUAUUCUUUUUCUGCUUAAUAGUAUGAUAUCUAAACAUCCAUAUAAACAAUAUUGAAUAAUAAAGAGUCAAAGUUUUCCUAAGCAUUUUGUGUAAACAAUAUAAUGAAAGACACAAAAUCAAAGAUAAUCAUAUAUAAUUAAACUUUAUAAAUCCAAACUUAGGUUUAGUCAAAUGUUAUCCUAACAAUUAAUAAUACAUGACAAAAUUAGUGGAAAAAUUUUAUAAUAUUCAACUAAAUAUGUGAAAGAAGAACCAUAAACUUUAAAGCACGCAUAAAAGAAAUUAAUUAAAUAAAAAAUUAUUUAUUUUGAAGUUAACCCUAGUAUAAAAGAUUUAGAUGGACAUAGGCAGAUUGAGAACGAUAAAGCCAAUAGAACGCAUCAUGCAGCUUGGGACUCUUAAUUCUUCUCUCUGUCUUCUGUACAUCUCCCUCUUGUCCUUCUGGCGACUCUCCCCUUUCAAAAGCUAAAAGCUUCCUUUACAUAAUGCUUGGCCGAAUCCUUCUAGAAUUAAGUUGCUUGGCCGCCAAUCUAUAUAUAUAUAUAUAAAGUUGGGACUUGAGGAGGUGAUGUGGCAUCUCAAUUUCUCAUUUUUGUAUAUUCUCUUUUAUCUAAUAAAUAGAGAAAUUUUCUUUUAGAUUUGGCUUUUCAUCUUCUCAUAAUUAAUUUGAUUGUUAUUAUACAAUAACAAUUGUGUAAAGAUUUUAAUGAGGCAUAUUCUUUGUAAUGAACAUCCAAGGAGGAGUGUUAUGAAUUUAUUAAAAUAAAUGUAGAUGUUCAUAACAUAUAUCUCUUAGUCUCCCCACUGUCUCCCCACUAUCUCCCAUUAGCAACCUUUAGCUUCCCUAUAACUCCCACUAUCUCACAAGGAAUUAUGAUCUAUAAUUUUUUAUUAAUUUCAUGGAGUGAUUAUGUAACUAUAAAAGGAGAGCUCAUCUUUUUUGUUUUGUAAACACACAAUUAGAAUGAAUAAAAUUACUCUAUAAUAUAUUCUCUCAUUUUAUUCUUUAUCUUAUAUAAAGUUGGGACUUGAGGAGGUGAUGUGGCAUCACUAUUUCUCAUCUUUGUAUAUUCUUUAUUAUCUAAUAAAUAGAAAAAAUUUCUUUUAGAUUUGGCUUUUCAUCUUCUCAUAAUUAAUUUGAUUUUUAUUAUACAAUAACAAUUAUGUAAAGAUUUUAAUGAGGCAUAUUCUUUGUAAUAAACAUCCAAGGGGGAGUGUUAUGAAUUUAUAAUAAAUGUAGAUGUUCAUAACAUAUAUUUCUUAGUCUACCCACUAUCUCCUAUUAGCAACGUUUAGCUUCCCUAUAACUCCCACUAUCUUACAAGGAAUUAUGAUCUAUAAUUUUUUAUUAAUUUAAUGGAGUGAUUAUGUAACUAUAAAAGGAGAGCUCAUCUUUUUUGUUUUGUAAACACACAAUUAGAAUGAAUAAAAUUACUCUAUAAUAUAUUCUCUCAUUUUAUUCUUUAUCUUAUAUAAAGUUGGGACUUGAGGAGGUGAUGUGGCAUCACCAUUUCUCAUCUUUGUAUAUUCUCUAUUAUCUAAUAAAUAGAGAAAUUUUCUUUUAGAUUUGGCUUUUCAUCUUCUCAUAAUUAAUUUGAUUGUUAUUAUACAAUAACAAUUAUGUAAAUAUUUUAAUGAGGCAUAUUCUUUGUAAUGAACAUCCAAGGGGGAGUGUUAUGAAUUUAUUAAAUAAAUGUAGAUGUUCAUAAUAUAUAUCUCUUAGUCUCCCCACUAUCUCCCAUUAGUAACCUUUAGUUUUCCUAUAACUCCCACUAUCUCACAAGGAAUUAUAAUCCAUAAUUUUUUAUUAAUUUCAUGGAGUGAUUAUGUAACUAUAAAAGGAGAGCUCAUCUUUUUGUUUUGUACACACGUAAUUGGAAUAAAUAAAAUUACUCUAUAAUAUAUUUUCUCAUUUUAUUCUUUAUCUUGAUUAUAAAAUAGGACAAUUUAUAAUUAACCCUCACUCAAAAGUCAAAAAAAAAUUUUUCUCUUAAAAAAAUUUAACAUUUUAGAAAUUAAAAAGGUUAUUUUUUCUCUAAUUAUCAAGUAAGGAAUUCACCACUAGUGGUUGAAAUGGGAAGAAGGAAACUUGUUUUUUUUUUUUUUUUGAACGGAAGAAAUCCUGUGGUUGAAAUAUGAUUUAAUAAUAAAAAUAAAUAAAAAUUAGAGAAUAGAGUUUACACUAACAAAUUUUGAUUAAGGGUAUUUUGUCAUUGGUGGAGGUGUUAAAAGAACUUUAUAAUUUUUAAAAAUAUUUUAGUGGAGUUAACAAAGAAAAAGGAUGUUAAGAGAUAUUUAGAGGGGUGCCAAUAGUCUCACUGAUAAGGAAAACCAACUAUUCUCAUUAUGGAUUUAUUUAUUAUUUUUUCUUAUAUUUUUCCCUUUUGCUAGUCAGUUUAUCAACUCAUCCUUCUCUGAUUGGCAAAAAAAAAAAAAAGCUUUUGAUUAUUAGUUGAAAAAUCAGUAAUACAUUUCUAGGUAUUCGAUAAGUGAACUUUCGGAUAUUAAGUUGAUGAAAUUUUUUUUUUAUUCAAUCUAAUUUUGUUCCAAAAAUAAUUUUAUUUAAAGGUAUUUCGGAAAUAAAAAUAUAUAUUUAAAUAUGGGUGUAGAGAGGAACAUAUUGGGUUCAAUAGUCUCACCCUAAUAAUUUUUAAUAAAAAUUCUUAUUAAUAAUUAAAUAACUUUUGAUAAAAACUCUACUAAUAAAAGUUUUACUUAGAUAAACUCUAUUUGAAAUUUUAUAUUGAAUGGUGCCUUUGUUGGUAUAGUUUCUGUAAAUUAACCAGCUCUGGAGCUUUUUGUUUUUUUUUUUUUUCAGGGGGUAAAAAUUUUUGUUUUUAAUUGUCUUGUUAAAUUGUGGCCUUGAAAAGUUAUCAAGUCAAAUUACCACUUUUACUUAAUUUCUUCCAGUUGCUGGUAUCUGGAUUGCGUAUCUUUGAAACAAUAGGCCAUAAAGUUUUGAGAAUCAAUUAAUGACAUGCGAAAUAUCACUUUGAAGUUUGAAUCUUCACUUUGAAUCUUUUUUCUGUGCAAUAAAAGAAAUCAAACAUGUUUUUCAACUUCAAUUUUUGACCCUUAUUUUGUUGCCAUUUUGUAUCCAAAGAAUUCAUUGAAAAAAGCUCUAAAAAAUUCUUAUCGCACAUCGGCAAAGGGGAAAAUAUCAAUGAAAAAGAAUGUAUCAACGUCAAGAAUUCAAAUUAAAAUUGAGGUUCAAAUUUUGGAACUCAAUUUAACAUAACCCUUCCCUACGGUAAUAAUCUAUCUAUAUAUAUAUAAAGUUGGGACUACAAGAGGUAAUGUGGCAUCACAAUUUCUCAUCUUUAUAUAUUCUCUAUUAUCUAAUAAAUAGAGAAAUUUUAUUUCAGAUUUGGAUUUUAAUCUUCUCAUAAUUAAUUUGAUUGUUAUUACACAAUCAAUAUGUUCUCAUAUUUGUAUAUUCUCUAUUAUAUAAUAAAUAGGGAAAUUUUAUUUCAGAUUUAUCUUUUCAUCUUCUCAUAAUUAAUUUGAUUGUUGUUAUACAAUAACAAUUAUGUAAAGGUUUUAAUGAAGCAUAUUCUUUGCAAUGAACAUCCAAGGGGGAGUGUUAUAAAUUUAUUAAAAUAAAUGUGGAUGUUCAUAACAUAUAUCUCUUAGUCUCCUCACUAUCUCCAAUUAGUAACCUUUAGCUUCCUAUAACUUCCACUAUCUCACAAGGAAUUAUGAGAAAAAAAUCAUUGGCUUAUCAAAUUAUCUAUUGAGCCUUGAAAAAGAUUCAACAAAAGACAGAAAAAAAUCCACUGUCUGUUUUACGUCAAGCAAUACGUGGAGUAACUCUCGAUAUAGCAGUAAAAGCAAGAUGUGUAGGCAGAUCGACUCAUCAAGUUCCCAUUGAAAUAGGAUCCGCACAAGGAAAAACACUUCCCGUUUGUUGGUUAUUAGGUAUAUAUAUAAAGCUGGGAUUAUAAGAGGUGAUGUGGCAUCACUAUUUCUCAUCUUUAUAUAUUUUUUAUUACCUAAUAAAUAGAGAAAUUUUUUUUCAGAUUUAGCUUUUCAUCUUCUCAUAAUUAAUUUGAUUGUUAUUAUACAAUAACAAUUAUGUAAAUAUUUUAAUGAGGCAUAUUCUUUGUAAUGAACAUCCAAGGGGGGGUGUUAUGAAUUUAUUAAAUAAAUGUAGAUGUUCAUAAUAUAUAUCUCUUAGUCUCCCCACUAUCUCCCAUUAGUAACCUUUAGUUUCCCUAUAACUCCCACUAUCUCACAAGGAAUUAUGAUCCAUAAUUUUUUAUUAAUUUCAUGGAGUGAUUAUGUAACUAUAAAAGGAGAGCUAAUCUUUUUGUUUUGUACACACACAAUUGGAAUGAAUAAAAUCACUCUAUAAUAUAGUCUCUCAUUUUAUUCUUUAUCUUAUAUAAAGUUGGGACUUGAGGAGGUGAUGUGGCAUCAUCAUUUCUCAUCUUUAUAUAUUCUCUACUAUCUAAUAAAUAGAGAAAUUUUCUUUUAGGUUUGAUUUUUCAUCUUCUCAUAAUUAAUUUGAUUGUUAUUAUACAAUAACAAUUAUGUAAAGAUUUUAAUGAGGCAUAUUCUUUAUAAUGAAUAUCAAAGGGGGAGUGUUAUGAAUUUAUUAAAAUAAAUGUAAAUGUUCAUAACAUAUAUCUCUUAGUCUCCCCACAAUCUCUCAUUAGUAACCUUUAACUUCCCUAUAACUUUCACUAUCUCACAAGAAAUUAUGAUCCAUAGUUUUUCAUUAAUUUCAUGGAGUGAUUAUGUAACUAUAAAAGGAGAGCUCAUCUUUUUGUUUUGUACACACACAAUUGGAAUGAAUAAAAUCACUCUAUAAUAUAUUCUCUCAUUUUAUUCUUUAUCUUGCGUUGCUUCUUUAUUUGUAUUGCUGGCUAAUAGUUUUUUUUUUAUAAGGCUGCCUCAUCUUUAAAAAAAAUCAAUUCAUAUUUUUUAUCAGUUUAAUUAAGUGGAAAGUAAGAAAAAAUGAUAAUACUAAAUUCUUUUUUCAAAGCCGCGUGAAGCGCNNNNNNNNNNNNNNNNNNNNNNNNNNNNNNNNNNNNNNNNNNNNNNNNNNNNNNNNNNNNNNNNNNNNNNNNNNNNNNNNNNNNNNNNNNNNNNNNNNNNNNNNNNNNNNNNNNNNNNNNNNNNNNNNNNNNNNNNNNNNNNNNNNNNNNNNNNNNNNNNNNNNNNNNNNNNNNNNNNNNNNNNNNNNNNNNNNNNNNNNNNNNNNNNNNNNNNNNNNNNNNNNNNNNNNNNNNNNNNNNNNNNNNNNNNNNNNNNNNNNNNNNNNNNNNNNNNNNNNNNNNNNNNNNNNNNNNNNNNNNNNNNNNNNNNNNNNNNNNNNNNNNNNNNNNNNNNNNNNNNNNNNNNNNNNNNNNNNNNNNNNNNNNNNNNNNNNNNNNNNNNNNNNNNNNNNNNNNNNNNNNNNNNNNNNNNNNNNNNNNNNNNNNNNNNNNNNNNNNNNNNNNNNNNNNNNNNNNNNNNNNNNNNNNNNNNNNNNNNNNNNNNNNNNNNNNNNNNNNNNNNNNNNNNNNNNNNNNNNNNNNNNNNNNNNNNNNNNNNNNNNNNNNNNNNNNNNNNNNNNNNNNNNNNNNNNNNNNNNNNNNNNNNNNNNNNNNNNNNNNNNNNNNNNNNNNNNNNNNNNNNNNNNNNNNNNNNNNNNNNNNNNNNNNNNNNNNNNNNNNNNNNNNNNNNNNNNNNNNNNNNNNNNNNNNNNNNNNNNNNNNNNNNNNNNNNNNNNNAUCUUUUUGUUUUGUACACACACAAUUGGAAUGAAUAAAAUCACUUUAUAAUAUAUUCUCUCAUUUUAUUCUUUAUCUUGCAUUGCUUCUUUAUUUGUAUUGCUGGCUAAUAGUUUUUUUUUUGUUUUUUAUAAGGCUACCUCAUCUUAAAAAAAAUCAAUUCAUAUUUUUUAUCAGUUUCAUCAAGUGUAAAGUAAGAAAAAAGGAUAAUACUAAAUUAUUUUUUUACAGCCGCGUGAAAUGCGGUUAUAUUUUCUAGUUAUAUAUAGCCAAAGUGUCCGCCCACGUCUACGAAGCCAAAUUAAGCCAUUAGUUGCUCAUCCUCAGGAGCUGGCCACUUUAUAAAACUAAAAUCAUUUAAUCCUCUUUAUCUGCAUGUGUAUGGAUGAAUUAAUUAAUUGGCUUCGGUUUCCUCAGCUUAAAUUCGCAUGCAUGUAUGCUUAGUUGCUCCCAAUAUCAAUUAUUUUUUAAUGCUUUGUAAAUUGAGCUUUUUCAUUUUUUUAUUCAUAAUCUCUAAUUAAUUUCUUAUUUAAUAAAAUAAUUUUAAUUAAUUAAAAAUAAAAAAUAAAAAAACUAAAAAAUAUAAAAUAAAGCGUGAAAUAUCUAGAUAAAUUAUAUCCAUCAUCAUUCUAAAAUCACGCCACUAUAGAAUUUUUCUUAAAUUAAUUGUAUUCUCUUGAAAUUGAACGGUUGACCUCAAUAACAAAUUUUGUCAGUGAUAAAAUCAUAUGAACUAUAUACGAAUAUUUCAUUUAUAUGCAGUAACCUUUACGCUAUACUACUAAAUUACAUAUCCUUAAGUAUUAUUCAUUUAAAUAAAAUAUAAUAACUAGUUAAGUACUUGGACUUCGUUUAAAAUUCAUGUGAUGAGUUAUAAAAAAUUACCUAAAGAAAUCGGUUUCUUGCUUUGUGAUUUUAAUUAAGCAUCUGAAUUCAGUGCUGAGCUGACCUGUAUUCAAUUCUUCACAAUCUUUUGUAACAUGUAAAUAUAUAGUAAUAUACGGUUAAUAUUUAAUUAGUUUUAUAUUCUCAUCUAAUAACUACAAAUUAUAUCUUUCUAAAAGGUUAGUAAAAAGGUCAGCUCAAUAAUAAAAUAAAUAUUAUUAUAUUAAUAUCUAAAGGAAUUUUUGCAUUGAUAUCUCUAAGAUUAAGGUUGCGUUUGUUCUUUUAUCUGAAAUCUAAACAUAUUUGAAUUUAUCUGAAGUCUGAAUAGGUUUGAAUGAAAAUGUCUGAAUGAUAUAUUUUUUUUCUUUUUCAAAAUCUGAAGAGAAAAACUUACAAGCUAGUAGUUUGACAUAAUAUUGGAAAUACAUGAAUUGUUAAGGGUAUUUUGAGAUUUGAAAUUAAAAUUUUCUAUUUAGACUUCAGAUUUCAUAUACAAGUGGAUUUUUUCUACUUUUUCUAUUUAGAUAGAAUUUUCUGAAAAUAAGUGAUAAGUUAAAAAAAAAAAGUAAAAUAAACAAAUGUUUGAAAAAAAAAGUUAAACGUAGAUUUCAGACCAAAAAACAAACAACACCUAAGCCUAAAAUCAACGACACCCUAACAGUUUGAUAUUUUAAUCUCUACCGUUACAAUAUUACAUUAAACUGAUUUAAACGUUCUACAUCAACAUAACUGUUGAAAUAAUACAUUUAUUAUUCUAAGACAUUUUUUUCCUUAGUUUUCUUUCUCUCUUUUUUUUUUCCAAUGAAACUUUUUAUGGUUUAAUUUUUGUUGAAUACGUUUGGCUAAAUGUUAUGACAUUCAUCUUGUAGGAUUGAAUUUCUUUUAUUUGGAAUUAAGAUUUAUUUUGAGAUAACUGUAGAUGAGAAACUGAGAGUAACCGGGGGCGGGGCAGCGGUGGUGUUAGAUGCUGGGGCGGGGCUAUGGGGAAGGAAAAAAAAAGCUUUCUCCUCGCACCAUCACUUGAAGAUAGGGAUGAUAAUCUGGGUUAUGAUUUAUUUAUUCGAUCCAAUUCGAUGAGAAUUAAAUGAGUUUGGAUUUGAAAAAAAAAUUAAUUUAUUUAAUAAAUGAGUGAAUUCAAUUUGAUUUAAUUUACUAAUUAAAUGAAUUGAAUUCAAAUUUGAGGGAGUUGAUUUGUUUAUUCAUUUAGGAUUCGUUUUACAAAUAAGUCAUAAAUAAAUACAAUUCAUUCGUUUAUUAUUCAUUCAAUUAAAAUAUUUAUUUAUCCUUAAAUUUGCAUGGAAAAAUGUUAAACUUUGAAAGUUAAUAUGGUAAUUAUCAAUUAGAAUAAGACAAAGUAUAUAAGUGAAAAGGCAUAGCCAGCCCCAAUCUCUUCUCUUAGGCUCUCAGCCCUCUCUUAGUCUCUUCUCUUGGUCUUUGCAAUUUCUCUUGCUUGGUUGAUCCCAGGCUAUGUUAUUAGCUAGUCCAUCAGCUCAACUUGUCAACUGUUAUUAUCAUUCGGAUUACUACCAAAACAAGGUAAUAUUGACGUUUUCCGAGCCGCACCUUUAUUUUUGCACAUUCUUGUUUGAGGGAGGGAGGUAAAUUGUAGGUAUAGGAGGUUUCUUUUUUUUUUUUGUAAACAAAGGCAGUGGUUUUGCUCGUCGUUGUACAUGUAAAUGAAUAACAACGAGGAAAAGGGAAAAAGGAGUAUUUUCACCUUUGGGGAGGAGAAAAGAGGGAAAAUGUUAGGUAGAUUUUAUAGCAUUUUUAGUUUUAUGUUUGUUUAUGACGUUGGGGGUGUUUACAUAAAGAUAAAUGGUUUCUUGAAGAAGUUGUGGGCGUAGUUUGUAAUUAUGGAAAUGGUUUUGGAUGAACUCUUCACCUAAUAUAUAUAAACCGUUCUCAAUUCUUUAUACGAGGUUUUGUUGAUUGUCUCAAAAAAAAAAGUUUUAAGUUUUUGUUUUUAUUUUUUUCCUUUUCGUUGUUUGAAAAUGGUACUUCGUUUUAUUUUGUAAUGUGUUGAUUGCCCUGUAAUCAUUUCCUGAAGGUGGAAAGGGUCACAUAAAAAACACUAUUGAACCAGAAAUGGUACUUGAUUUUAUCUUACUUUUUUUUUUUGGUUUUGUAGGUUUAAUUAUUAUUUCCUUAACAGUACUACGAAUUUAAUAUAUAUUUGAUACUUUAAAAUAUUACAAUGACUCUUAUUAUUGUUGCGGCAGGUUAAUCUCACUACAUUUACAUAUUUAUGUGUAGGAUUUUUAUUUUCAACGUGACGAAGAUAGAAUGAAGAGAUUAAAGAAAUCACUUUGGUUUAUAAUUUGAAUUUGAAUUGUUGUUAUUUAUAUUGUUAAGAAUUAGUAAUUUAAUGUUUGGAUGACUGUAUAUUUUAAUCUUAUAAUACGGUUUGGAUUAUUUACUUAAUUUUUAUUUAUUAAUUAUAUUUUAAAAUCAAAUUCAUAUUCAAUUCAAUUAGUUAUGAAUUCAUUUAUUAUAAGAUAAACAAAUAGUAAAUGAAUUUAGAUUCGAUUCGAAUUGUUUAUUAGUUCUACUAAACGAAUUAAAUAAAUUAAAUCGGAUAUUCAUUUAAUAAAUGAAUCGAAUCUGAAUUUUGAAAUUUUAACUCGUUUAAUAAGAGAAUCAAUUCCAAAUCAACAAAGUUUUAACCGAAUUCGUUUAAGAUUUGAUUCAAAUUUCAUUUCGUUUUCUUAGCUCAACCUAAAUACUCUUCCAUCUAAUCCAAUUAGAUACCACCACGAAUACAAUUACUACUGGAUCAAGAUUUCAAAAAAUAAACCAGAUAAGCGGAAACUAACAGGAGUAAAUAAUUAAAUUGAUAUCAUAAGUAGGAUGACAGACCAUUCAAGGUUGGAUGACAGACCAUUCAAGGUUGAUUUAUUUCUUUCUUAUGAUGCAUUAAGCAUCUCUUGAUUUAUUAUACAUAGGACUCGCACACGGUGCAUGCAAGGAAGCAACUGAAGCGAGGCAGUUAUAUAUCCUGCUUUAGUUCUGAGGUUCAGCCUCAGUUUGGGCAUUGACCGCCUCACCGGCAUAGGAACAACACCUGCAACCUCUCCCAUAAUAACCACGGCCACAGCAACCGUAGCGGCAAUAUCCUCCACCAUGACCACGGCCACCUCCGCCAUACCCACCACGUCCAGGAUAUCCUCCGUAGCCACCACGGCCGCCACCUGGGUAUCCACCAUAGCCACCGCGGCCGCCGCCUGGGUACCCUCCAUAUCCACCAUUAUACUUGGCAUCAUCUACUCCAUUAGUCUCUCCAGCU
This 40847-nucleotide long non-coding RNA is filed under the name Citrus sinensis (sweet orange). RNAcentral describes it as "long non-coding RNA (CSIN_LNC000778)". The record is from RNAcentral. Lineage: Eukaryota; Viridiplantae; Streptophyta; Magnoliopsida; Sapindales; Rutaceae.